RNAcentral lists this long non-coding RNA (1059 nucleotides) under Canis lupus familiaris (dog). Its description in RNAcentral is "lncRNA (ENSCAFG00000044148.2)". The record is from RNAcentral. Lineage: Eukaryota; Metazoa; Chordata; Mammalia; Carnivora; Canidae.
AUGCCCUCCAGGGUAAGUCCCUGUGAAAGGGGUCCUGUCGCUUUAAAAGGGCUCCCCAGCAAUGGGGAUUCUGGGCCAUUUUUCCCUUCUAUGGCCAGUUUUGGAGGGCGUGUUCCUGUUAGCAAACCUUGGCCCCCCGUAAAUACCCUGCAGCCGCCGCCGGUAAUGACAGGCCGGCGGGGAGCCCGCGGAGCGCGCCGGGGCUCCUGCAGGCGGCGCCGCCGCGGCCCCGGGGCCACGGCCACAGCCAGGCCCGAGCCGGGCCCCGCCGGGAUCGACCUCCGCAGGGCUCGCGCAGGCCCGCGCGCCCGUGAACUUGGCCGGGGGCGCCUUCCCGAACGCGCGCGCCGGGCCGGAGCCUCUCCCAGCCCUGGAUGCCCGAGCCCCCACCCGCUCGGGCCCCCAAGAACAAAGCUCGCCGCCGCCGGGCCUUGGGGCCUCCCGGUGGUCAGGUGUCGGGCGGCCUGUGCUCCGCUGCCCCUGCGCCCCCCAUCGUGCGUCCCCGCCCCGCGGGGGCACCGCGGCCCGCCGUCCCCCACCCCCACCCCCCCGAGGCGCAGGCUCGGGGACUUGAGGGCCUGUCCUGUCUGGGGGGGUCUGGCCUUCCCGGCGCCCCUUCUCCGGGAGGACGAGACGCAGAGAUGCCGCUGGGCCCUCCCCGCCCCCCUUCUCCAGCCUCCGCAACAAUGGAGGGCCGGGCCGCAGAGGCCGGGGCGCCGACCCCCGGCCGCGAGCAGGUGCGCGAGGGGGCCGCAGCCGGGUCCCGCCGCCGCCCCGCCCCGCCGCGCCCCCUCCCCGCGGGCGGCGCCCCCGCCUGCCCGGCGCCCGCGCUCACCUCGUUUCGGGCCGCCGCCGCGUUGCCCCUCUUCUUUCCAAACCAGCCCGGAAAAGCCCCCUGAGUCGAGGCGCCUGCACGGGAAAUUGCAUUUCGGCGGCUUCGGGGCUGGGCGGGGGCCCCCCCAGGCCGCGGGCCGGGGGAGGGGGCCGCGGGGCUCCGGCGCCGGCUCGAACCCGCGGCCGCCGCCUCCCGCCCGCCCGCCCGCCUGUCUGUCUCGGUGA